Molecule: ribosomal RNA, 301 nt
Filed under: uncultured bacterium
Lineage: Bacteria
Description: partial 16S ribosomal RNA
Rfam family: Bacterial small subunit ribosomal RNA
Source: RNAcentral
CAGUCGCCGCGGGAAUACGUAGGGAGCGAGCGUUGUCCGGAAUUACUGGGCGUAAAGAGCUCGUAGGCGGGACCGUAAGUCCAAGAGGAAAUCUCAAGGCUCAACUUUGGGGCUUUCUUGGAUACUGCGGUUCUUGAGGAUGUCAGAGGAAAGUAGAAUUCCCGGUGUAGCGGUGAAAUGCGUAGAUAUCGGAAGGAACAUCUGUGGCGAAGGCGACUAUCUGGGCCAACACUGACACUGAGGCACGAAAGCGUGGGGAGCAAACAUGAUUAGAUACCCGCGUAGUCCCUGUCUCUUAUAC